Molecule: ribosomal RNA, 266 nt
Filed under: Dothiorella sp.
Lineage: Eukaryota; Fungi; Ascomycota; Dothideomycetes; Botryosphaeriales; Botryosphaeriaceae
Description: partial small subunit ribosomal RNA
Source: RNAcentral
UCCUUCCGCGGUGACACUUAUCGAAGCCUUGAAUUACGCCCUCGCAAGAGGGAGAUGCCCAACGACUGUAAACAAAUGGGACGCGUAAGUUGGCCCCCGUGGCCGGCGACACUUUCGAAUUGCGGGGAUACCCUGAGAGCUCUGCCUACCAACCCGGGGGGAAACCCACCGGGGGCCCGUGCUAACAACACGGGGCGGUAAAAACGGCCAGAGAUUGGGCAAUCCGCAGCCAAGCCCCUAACUCCAGCCCGCCUGGACUCGGGGAA